Molecule: non-coding RNA, 413 nt
Organism: Delphinapterus leucas (beluga whale)
Lineage: Eukaryota; Metazoa; Chordata; Mammalia; Artiodactyla; Monodontidae
Source: RefSeq, a predicted model, not a curated record
AGAUCACCCUGACUUUUGGAGAGAAAAGAACAUCUGAACGAGCUCUGCCUAAAGAAUUCUUCCCCACUAAGUGGAAGCCAUUACUCCAAGGUACUUCCUGAAUCUCACCAGCCAAUGGCCCCAGAAAGAUAGCAGCUAGUGAUAGUCUUCACACUGAAUGUAAUUUUCUUCUGACAUUCCUGGAUGUACCAGUAGAUUGUGAACUCAUUGAAGGCAAACCAGUGUCUUGUUCAUCUUUAUAUCGUCAAUGCCAGAGCCAGAGUGGGACUUGGAGGAAUGAUGAGCCCACGAUUAUUUAAAAGAGCAAAAAGGAGCAUGGAAACAUGGACAAGAAUAAUGGAGGAAGCCUGCGGUAUGUGAAGGAAAACACAGUUUAACAUAUGCUCGUCAUCCAGCUGAGAGCAACUUCUAGG